Molecule: ribosomal RNA, 468 nt
Filed under: uncultured bacterium
Lineage: Bacteria
Description: partial 16S ribosomal RNA
Rfam family: Bacterial small subunit ribosomal RNA
Source: RNAcentral
GACGAACGCUGGCGGCGUGCUUAACACAUGCAAGUCGAACGGAAAGGCCCUGCUUUUGUGGGGUGCUCGAGUGGCGAACGGGUGAGUAACACGUGAGUAACCUGCCCUUGACUUUGGGAUAACUUCAGGAAACUGGGGCUAAUACCGGAUAGGAGCUCCUGCUGCAUGGUGGGGGUUGGAAAGUUUCUGCGGUUGUGGAUGGACUCGCGGCUUAUCAGCUUGUUGGUGGGGUAGUGGCUUACCAAGGCUUUGACGGGUAGCCGGCCUGAGAGGGUGACCGGCCACAUGGGGACUGAGAGACGGCGCAGAAUCCAACGGGAGGCAGCAGGGGGGAAUAUUGCAAAAUGGGCGGAAGCCAGAGGCAGCAACGCCGCGUGCGGGAUGACGGCCUUCGGGUUGUAAACCGCUUUCGCCGGUGACGAAGCGUGAGUGACGGUAAUGGGUAAAGAAGCACCGGCUAACUACGUG